ACCACUUCGGUGGGGAUUAGUGGCGAACGGGUGAGUAACACGUGGGCAAUCUGCCCUUCACUCUGGGACAAGCCCUGGAAACGGGGUCUAAUACCGGAUAACACUCCUGCUCUCAUGGGCAGGGGUUAAAAGCUCCGGCGGUGAAGGAUGAGCCCGCGGCCUAUCAGCUUGUUGGUGAGGUAAUGGCUCACCAAGGCGACGACGGGUAGCCGGCCUGAGAGGGCGACCGGCCACACUGGGACUGAGACACGGCCCAGACUCCUACGGGAGGCAGCAGUGGGGAAUAUUGCACAAUGGGCGAAAGCCUGAUGCAGCGACGCCGCGUGAGGGAUGACGGCCUUCGGGUUGUAAACCUCUUUCAGCAGGGAAGAAGCGAAAGUGACGGUACCUGCAGAAGAAGCGCCGGCUAACUACGUGCCAGCAGCCGCGGUAAUACGUAGGGCGCAAGCGUUGUCCGGAAUUAUUGGGCGUAAAGAGCUCGUAGGCGGCUUGUCACGUCGGGUGUGAAAGCCCGGGGCUUAACCCCGGGUCUGCAUUCGAUACGGGCUAGCUAGAGUGUGGUAG
Molecule: ribosomal RNA, 564 nt
Filed under: Streptomyces bobili
Lineage: Bacteria; Bacillati; Actinomycetota; Actinomycetes; Kitasatosporales; Streptomycetaceae
Description: bacterial SSU rRNA
Rfam family: Bacterial small subunit ribosomal RNA
Source: RNAcentral